UAGGGAAUCUUCCGCAAUGGGCGAAAGCUUGACGGAGCAACGCCGCGUGAGUGAUGAAGGUCUUCGGAUCGUAAAACUCUGUUAUUAGGGAAGAACAAAUGUGUAAGUAACUAUGCACGUCUUGACGGUACCUAAUCAGAAAGCCACGGCUAACUACGUGCCAGCAGCCGCGGUAAUACGUAGGUGGCAAGCGUUAUCCGGAAUUAUUGGGCGUAAAGCGCGCGUAGGCGGUUUUUUAAGUCUGAUGUGAAAGCCCACGGCUCAACCGUGGAGGGUCAUUGGAAACUGGAAAACUUGAGUGCAGAAGAAGAAAGUGGAAUUCCAUGUGUAGCGGUGAAAUGCGUAGAGAUAUGGGGGAACACCAGUGGCGAAGGCGGCUUUCUGGUCUGUAACUGACGCUGAUGUGCGAAAGCGUGGGGAUCAAACAGG
RNAcentral lists this ribosomal RNA (429 nucleotides) under Actinomycetes bacterium. RNAcentral's name for it is "Actinobacteria bacterium partial 16S ribosomal RNA". It matches the Rfam family "Bacterial small subunit ribosomal RNA", at positions 355 to 776 of the family's 1533-position model. The record is from RNAcentral. Lineage: Bacteria; Bacillati; Actinomycetota; Actinomycetes.